Molecule: ribosomal RNA, 1242 nt
Filed under: uncultured bacterium
Lineage: Bacteria
Description: bacterial SSU rRNA
Rfam family: Bacterial small subunit ribosomal RNA
Source: RNAcentral
CCCUGGUCGGGGACUCUAGAGAUUAGAGUUUGAUCCUGGCUCAGAUUGAACGCUGGCGGCAGGCCUAACACAUGCAAGUCGAGCGGCAGCACGGGAAGCUUGCUUCCUGGUGGCGAGCGGCGGACGGGUGAGUAAUGCAUAGAAAUCUGCCCGGUAGUGGGGGAUAACCUGGGGAAACCCAGGCUAAUACCGCAUACGUCCUACGGGAGAAAGCAGGGGAUCUUCGGACCUUGCGCUAUCGGAUGAGUCUAUGUCGGAUUAGCUUGUUGGUGAGGUAAUGGCUCACCAAGGCGACGAUCCGUAGCUGGUCUGAGAGGAUGAUCAGCCACAUCGGGACUGAGACACGGCCCGAACUCCUACGGGAGGCAGCAGUGGGGAAUAUCGGACAAUGGGCGAAAGCCUGAUCCAGCCAUGCCGCGUGUGUGAAGAAGGCCUUCGGGUUGUAAAGCACUUUCAGUGGGGAAGAAAGCCUUGGGGCUAAUACCCUCGAGGAAGGACAUCACCCACAGAAGAAGCACCGGCUAACUCCGUGCCAGCAGUCGCGGUAAUACGGAGGGUGCGAGCGUUAAUCGGAAUUACUGGGCGUAAAGCGCGCGUAGGCGGUCUGAUAAGCCGGUUGUGAAAGCCCCGGGCUCAACCUGGGAACGGCAUCCGGAACUGUCAGGCUAGAGUGCAGGAGAGGAAGGUAGAAUUCCCGGUGUAGCGGUGAAAUGCGUAGAGAUCGGGAGGAAUACCGGUGGCGAAGGCGGCCUUCUGGACUGACACUGACGCUGAGGUGCGAAAGCGUGGGUAGCAAACAGGAUUAGAUACCCUGGUAGUCCACGCCGUAAACGAUGUCGACUAGCCGUUGGGCUCCUUGAGAGCUUUGUGGCGCAGUUAACGCGAUAAGUCGACCGCCUGGGGAGUACGGCCGCAAGGUUAAAACUCAAUGAAUUGACGGGGGCCCGCACAAGCGGUGGAGCAUGUGGUUUAAUUCGAUGCAACGCGAAGAACCUUACCUACCCUUGACAUCGUGCGAACUUGGUAGAGAUACCUUGGUGCCUUCGGGAGCGCACAGACAGUGCUGCAUGCUGUCGUCAGCUCGUGUGUGAAAUGUUGGGUUAAGUCCGUACGAGCGCACCCUGUCCUUAUUUGCAAGCGCGUUAUUGCGACCUCUAGGACUGCGUGACAACGAGAGUGGAACACGUCAGUCUCAUGGCUUACGGUUAGGCUACAACGUGCUCACAUGGGCCGUACAAAGGU